GAUUCCCCUAGUAACUGCGAGUGAAGCGGGAAAAGCUCAAAUUUAAAAUCUGGCGGUCUUUGGCCGUCCGAGUUGUAGUCUGGAGAAGCGUCUUCCGCGUUGGACCGUGUACAAGUCUCUUGGAACAGAGCGUCAUAGAGGGUGAGAAUCCCGUCUUUGACACGGACUACCAAUGCUUUGUGAUGCGCUCUCAAAGAGUCGCGUUGUUUGGGAAUGCAGCGCAAAAUGGGAGGUGAAUUCCUUCUAAAGCUAAAUAUUGGCGAGAGACCGAUAGCGAACAAGUACCGUGAGGGAAAGAUGAAAAGCACUUUGGAAAGAGAGUUAAACAGUACGUGAAAUUGCUAAAAGGGAAACGCUUGAAGUCAGUCGCGUCGUCCGGAACUCAGCUUNGCUUCGGCUUAGUGCACUUUCCGGUUGACGGGCCAGCAUCGAUUUUGACCGCUGGAAAAGGGCUGGAGGAAUGUGGCACCUUCGGGUGUGUUAUAGCCUUCAGUCGCAUACAGCGGUUGGGAUCGAGGAACGCAGCACGCCUUAUGGCUGGGGUUCGCCCACAUUCGCGCUUAGGAUGCUGGCAUAAUGGCU
RNAcentral lists this ribosomal RNA (582 nucleotides) under Trametes pubescens. RNAcentral's name for it is "eukaryotic LSU rRNA". It matches the Rfam family "Eukaryotic large subunit ribosomal RNA", at positions 73 to 639 of the family's 3401-position model. Lineage: Eukaryota; Fungi; Basidiomycota; Agaricomycetes; Polyporales; Polyporaceae. The record is from RNAcentral.